UGAGGAAUAUUGCGCAAUGGGCGAAAGCCUGACGCAGCGACGCCGCGUGGAGGAUGAAGGUUUUCGGAUUGUAAACUCCUGUUAAGUGGGAAGAAACGACAAAAUAUAAUACAUUUUGUAACUGACGGUACCAUUAAAGAAAGCACCGGCUAACUUCGUGCCAGCAGCCGCGGUAAUACGAGGGGUGCAAGCGUUAUUCGGAAUUAUUGGGCGUAAAGGGUGCGUAGGCGGCGUAUUAAGUCAACUGUUAAAACCUCCAGCCUAACUGGAGAUCAGCAGUAGAUACUGGUAUGCUAGAGGAUGGAAGAGAGAAGUGGAAUUCUUGGAGUAGCGGUGGAAUGCGUAGAUCUCAAGAGGAACACCAAUGGCGAAGGCAGCUUCUUGGUCCAUAUCUGACGCUGAUGCACGAAAGCGUGGGGAGCAAACAGGAUUAGAUACCCUGGUAGUCCACGCCGUAAACGAUGAUCACUAGAUGUUAAUUCUGCUUGCAGAAUUAGUGUCGUAGCUAACGCGAUAAGUGAUCCGCCUGGGGACUACGGUCGCAAGA
RNAcentral lists this ribosomal RNA (547 nucleotides) under uncultured bacterium. RNAcentral's name for it is "partial 16S ribosomal RNA". It matches the Rfam family "Bacterial small subunit ribosomal RNA", at positions 355 to 893 of the family's 1533-position model. The record is from RNAcentral.